UUUAGAUCCUGGACUCAGAAUCGAACGCUGGCGGCGUGCCUAACACAUGCAAGUCGAACGCGAAAGGGGAGCAAUCCCUGAGUAGAGUGGCAAACGGGUGAGGUAACACGUGGGUGACCUGCCUUCGAGUGGGGGAUAAACGUCCCGAAAGGGACGCUAAUACCGCAUGACAUCCUGCUUUUGGAAAAGCGGAGAUCAAAGCUGGGGACCGCAAGACCUGGCGCUUGAAGAGGGGCCCGCGCCUGAUUAGCUAGUUGGUGGGGUAAUGGCUCACCAAGGCGACGAUCAGUAUCCGGCCUGAGAGGGCGGACGGACGACACUGGGACUGAGACACGGCCCAGACUCCUACGGGAGGCAGCAGUGGGGAAUUGUUCGCAAUGGGCGCAAGCCUGACGACGCAACGCCGCGUGGAGGACGAAGAUCUUCGGGUCGUAAACUCCUGUCGAGUGGGAAGAACGCUUCGCGGAUGAAUAAGCCGCGAAAAAUGACGGUACCGCUAAAGGAAGCCCCGGCUAACUCCGUG
Molecule: ribosomal RNA, 523 nt
Filed under: uncultured bacterium
Lineage: Bacteria
Description: bacterial SSU rRNA
Rfam family: Bacterial small subunit ribosomal RNA
Source: RNAcentral